UGUGUGUGUGUGUGUGUGUGUGUGUGUGUGUGUGACUGUGUGUGUGUGAAUGGGAGAGAAGAAAACAGAAUGGACUUCAUCUCAUAGUGGAACUAAAACCAAAGUUUACACUCAACACCUGGACCUGUCUAGUUGUCAAUCCCCCCAGCCCCUCUCCAAUGCUGGCAAAUCAAACUGACCACACACACUCACCCACUCACACACACACUCACUCACUCAUGCAUACACACAGAUCUACUGACUCCACUUUCACAUAGAUUGACUCCAUCUUGUGCAUAGAGACAAACUGACCUAUAUACGCUCGUUUGUUAGUGACGCAUACUGAAACCAGAAGACCCUGUUCUGCCAAGUACGGUGUUAACGGUGCCAUGACAACCAUUAACCUGAGCCCUUAUCUCUGAGGGCCUUGUUUAUUUUCUGUUUAUUUUCUAUUUGUUUUGCCUUUUUCUGUUCUCACUGUCAGCCUUGUAAACAAGUAUAGAUAAACUCACAGACCGGCAGAUGCAGAGUACAGACUUCGAGGUAGAGGCAUACUGUCACGACUCGACCAGUGGUCGUUGUGUUGACGUGUAUCAUCAGAAGGCUCGGCACCAAAAUCCAUCCAAGGCUCGUUUGCGUGAAGCUCUCCAUUGUACAGUUGCUAGAAAAUCAUGUUAAUUUGUAUCAUAGAUGACAGCGCAUGUACAUGAAUGUAUAAAUCCAUGAUUUUUGUAUCAUUUUUGUAGAUGACUGUAGGUGAGUGUGAAGUUUGUCUGGCGCGUUCUUUGAUUCGGUGCGGUGGAGACCAGUGUUGUCUUUUGUUAUCUUUUGUUCUAAGCCCCGCCCCUGACCCCACCCCUUCCACAAGCUCCAAUCAGAAGCCACUUUUCUGAGGGCCGAGAGUAGCGGAUUGGUGGACGCAGGGUUGGGGUUCAUCUGGCCUUUUAAAAGCUGCACCCUGUAAUUUAUUUUUUAAAAGUUGAUUAAAAUACAUAUUUUAAAUUUA
Alosa sapidissima (American shad) is the source of this 985-nucleotide long non-coding RNA. RefSeq lists it as uncharacterized. The record is from RefSeq and is a predicted model, not a curated record. The transcript has 2 exons. NCBI's taxonomy places the organism in Eukaryota, Metazoa, Chordata, Actinopteri, Clupeiformes, Clupeidae.